RNAcentral lists this ribosomal RNA (429 nucleotides) under Pseudomonadota bacterium. Its description in RNAcentral is "Proteobacteria bacterium partial 16S ribosomal RNA". It matches the Rfam family "Bacterial small subunit ribosomal RNA", at positions 355 to 776 of the family's 1533-position model. Lineage: Bacteria; Pseudomonadati; Pseudomonadota. The record is from RNAcentral.
UGGGGAAUAUUGGACAAUGGGCGAAAGCCUGAUCCAGCCAUGCCGCGUGUGUGAAGAAGGUCUUCGGAUUGUAAAGCACUUUAAGUUGGGAGGAAGGGCAGUAAGCGAAUACCUUGCUGUUUUGACGUUACCGACAGAAUAAGCACCGGCUAACUCUGUGCCAGCAGCCGCGGUAAUACAGUGGGUGCAAGCGUUAAUCGGAAUUACUGGGCGUAAAGCGCGCGUAGGUGGUUCGUUAAGUUGAAUGUGAAAGCCCCGGGCUCAACCUGGGAACUGCAUCCAAAACUGGCGAGCUAGAGUAGGGCAGAGGGUGGUGGAAUUUCCUGUGUAGCGGUGAAAUGCGUAGAUAUAGGAAGGAACACCAGUGGCGAAGGCGGCCACCUGGGCUCAUACUGACACUGAGGUGCGAAAGCGUGGGGAGCAAACAGG